Molecule: ribosomal RNA, 591 nt
Filed under: uncultured Ascomycota
Lineage: Eukaryota; Fungi; Ascomycota
Description: eukaryotic LSU rRNA
Rfam family: 5.8S ribosomal RNA (bases 229-382)
Source: RNAcentral
CUUGGUCAUUUAGAGGAAGUAAAAGUCGUAACAAGGUUUCCGUAGGUGAACCUGCGGAAGGAUCAUUACAGUGUUCCCUGCCCUCACGGGUAGAAACGCCCACCCUUGUGUAAUAUAUCUUGUUGCUUUGGCAGGCCGCCCUCGGGCACCGGCUUCGGCUGGGUCGCGCCUGCCAGAGGACCCCAAACUCUGAAUGUUAGUGUCGUCUGAGUACUAUAUAAUAGUUAAAACUUUCAACAACGGAUCUCUUGGUCCUGGCAUCGAUGAAGAACGCAGCGAAAUGCGAUAAGUAAUGUGAAUUGCAGAAUUCAGUGAAUCAUCGAAUCUUUGAACGCACAUUGCGCCCCGUGGUAUUCCGCGGGGCAUGCCUGUUCGAGCGUCAUUUAAACCAAUCCAGCUUGCUGGGUCUUGGGCUCUCGCCUCCGGGCGGGCCUUAAAAUCAGUGGCGGUGCCACCCGGCUCUAAGCGUAGUAAUACUCCUCGCUACAGAGCUCCGGGUGGAGGCUGGCCAAACAACCCCCCAUUUUAUCAGGUUGACCUCGGAUCAGGUAGGGAUACCCGCUGAACUUAGGCAUAUCAAUAAGCGGAGGA